UGCAUCGGCCGGGAUUCGAACCCGUGGCAAGUGAGCAUUCUACCACUGAACCACCAAUGC
RNAcentral lists this transfer RNA (60 nucleotides) under Cordylochernes scorpioides. RNAcentral describes it as "tRNA-Ser". Lineage: Eukaryota; Metazoa; Arthropoda; Arachnida; Pseudoscorpiones; Chernetidae. The record is from RNAcentral.